UACGUAGGGGGCAAGCGUUGUCCGGAUUUAUUGGGCGUAAAGAGCGUGUAGGCGGCCAGACAGGUCCGUUGUGAAAACUCGAGGCUCAACCUCGAGAUGUCGAUGGAAACCGUCUGGCUAGAGUCCGGAAGAGGAGUGUGGAAUUCCUGGUGUAGCGGUGAAAUGCGCAGAUAUCAGGAAGAACACCAAUGGCGAAGGCAGCUCUCUGGGACGGUACUGACGCUGAGACGCGAAAGCGUGGGGAGCGAACAGG
This 253-nucleotide ribosomal RNA is filed under the name uncultured bacterium. RNAcentral's name for it is "partial 16S ribosomal RNA". It matches the Rfam family "Bacterial small subunit ribosomal RNA", at positions 524 to 776 of the family's 1533-position model. The record is from RNAcentral.